This is a long non-coding RNA of Protopterus annectens (West African lungfish), 1666 nucleotides long. RefSeq lists it as uncharacterized. The transcript has 3 exons. The record is from RefSeq and is a predicted model, not a curated record. Lineage: Eukaryota; Metazoa; Chordata; Ceratodontiformes; Protopteridae.
UAUUACAGUAUUAUGAGUAUAAAACAACUAGGAUCUCUGUCUCGGUUGCUUUAGGGUACCCAGGCAGCACUAUGCGAGAACACGCACAACCUCUGAAGCCUAAUAAUUUCCAACACAAUCCCAAUCACACAAAAGGAAGGCCUUCAUCAUCACGUGAAGUCGGCAGUGCGUUUGAAAGGUCUCCUUUGCAGAAUACUAAUCAACCUGUUUCACACGGCAUCAAGCCCAGCUGGAGGAAACUGUGCAACAACAGAAAAUAAGCAAGUGCACCCCUAAGUUUCUGCUGCUUCACAUUUUGCAAGGCAUAUAUAUCAGGAAUUCAGUUUGGGGCGUACAAGGACUUCUGGAGCUUGAUGUCUUUGUGCUGCUUUUUGAUGUAUACCUGCAUGUGUACGUGGACUUGCAAACUAUAUAACCUCGCAGUGUGAAUGAAGUCAGAUAGUGCUUUUCCUAAUGCAUGGAUUAUGUUCUGUUUUUGCUCUCUCCACCAAAUCAAUAAUACAUAAUAGGUUGGGAUCGGGCAUGUAAGCAUUGGAGAUUUUUUAUUCAGUGUGCCCUGAGAUUUUACAGUCUGAGAGAGAGGAACCCCGCUUUCAACUCUGACAACUUGGCACGAACCAAUGCAGAUGCUCUUCAGGUUUUGCCUGGGUCUUUCAUUUUUUUUCGUUAAAAAGACAAUCGGCGUCCAUCAUUGCACCAAACGAAAAGAUUAUUAAUAAUAAUCUGCUCUAGCAGCUCUGUGUGACAUGCAGUCUCUCAUCUCUCCGGUGACCAAGGCUAUUUUGGUGGCUUUGUUUAUUUUUGCCAUUUUAUUAAUUCUGUAUGUGAUUCUCUGGUAUAUCUGUCGAGAUGUUGAUUGCGAUCACGGAAUCUGAAUUGGAAAACUGGGCACGGAUUAAGAAAAAAAAGAAAAAAGAACUGGCGCUGACCUUCAGAGAUCAGGAUGACAUGAAGUUAAAUAAAGCCAUUCAGCCCCAAGAUGCAAAGUGGAGUAUACCACUGUCAACAUUUCCACAAAAUAGAUCAACACAAGACAAAAGGUGAAGGAGCAAUACAAAUACAGCAGAAGGCAACCAUGCCUGAUGGAAUGUACAACUGAAGGCAAAAAGAAGCCUAAAUGAAAUGCAAUCCUACUGGCCAAAGAAGAUGAAGAAGUGGAUUGGUACAAUUUAGAAAUGCUUCAGGGAUGACAUGAAUUCCUCAGAAAGCUUAACAUCUCAUUUUGUUCUGUUGUCCAACAAAUAUCAACCUGAUAACAUGAAGCAUGAGACCCAAUGAGGAUUCUGGAAAAACAAACUUUGAUGACCUCAUAACUUCUUGUCUACGUACGCUGGUCUGAGGACUCUGCAUUAUAUGAAUGUGAAGAUUCAGGUUUAGAAAUGAGAGCAUAUCAACAUUGUGGCAAAGAACUACAACAUCUGUAUCUGAGUAAUGUGCUUACCUUGAGGAAAGCUUUGACAUUGCUUAACUCUUCAAACAAGAUCAUAUCAUUUCUUUAUAAGAGUUAAUACUAUAAUUCUAAAAGUACAAGUGCCUGACCAUGAUACAGUCUGGUCAUGAAAAUCUGCAAAUAUAUUUAUUCAUUAUUUUAUUGGAUAAUUGCUAUGUGAAAGCUCAGAUAUUUUUAUUUAAUAAAUCAAAAAAUAAUGUUUAUUUGAUCAUAAAA